UAGAGUUUGAUCAUGGCUCAGGACGAACGCUGGCGGCGUGCUUAACACAUGCAAGUUGAACGGGAUCCACCAUAUGAAGUUUUCGGACGGAAUGAGGUGGUGAGAGUAGCGGACGGGCGAGUAACGCGUGAGCAACCUACCCUUUGCAGGGGGAUAACAUCGGGAAACCGGUGCUAAUACCGCAUAAGACCACAGAGUCGCAUGGCUCAGUGGUCAAAACUCCGGUGGCAAAGGAUGGGCUCGCGUCCAAUUAGCUAGUUGGUAGGGUAAAGGCCUACCAAGGCGACGAUUGGUAGCCGAAUUGAGAGGUUGAUCGGCCGCAUUGGGACUGAGACACGGCCCAGACUCCUACGGGAGGCAGCAGUGGGGAAUAUUGCGCAAUGGAGGGAACUCUGACGCAGCAACGCCGCGUGAAGGAAGAAGGCUUUCGGGUUGUAAACUUCUUUGAUCGGGGACGAAAAUGACGGUACCCGAGGAACAAGCCACGGCUAACUACGUGCCAGCAGCCGCGGUAAUACGUAGGUGGCAAGCGUUGUCCGGAAUUACUGGGUGUAAAGGGCGUGUAGGCGGGGUGGCAAGUCAGAUGUGAAAUACCGCGGCUUAACUGCGGGGGUGCAUCUGAAACUGCUGUUCUUGAGUGUCGGAGAGGAAAGUGGAAUUCCCAGUGUAGCGGUGAAAUGCGUAGAGAUUGGGAGGAACACCAGUGGCGAAGGCGGCUUUCUGGACGAUAACUGACGCUGA
Molecule: ribosomal RNA, 741 nt
Filed under: uncultured bacterium
Lineage: Bacteria
Description: bacterial SSU rRNA
Rfam family: Bacterial small subunit ribosomal RNA
Source: RNAcentral